GCUUGACAUGGGUUUUGAACCUCAAAUAAGGAAAAUAGUGCAACAGAUGGACAUGCCUCCGCCAGGUGUGCGACAGACCAUGCUUUUCAGUGCCACUUUUCCAAAAGAGAUUCAGAGACUGGCCUCAGAUUUUCUAUCCAGUUAUAUCUUUUUGGCCGUCGGAAGGGUCGGCUCUAGCACAGAUUUGAUUGUCCAACGAGUUGAAUAUGUUCAAGAGACUGACAAGAGAAGUCACUUGAUGGAUCUUCUUCAUGCGCAGAAGGAAAAUGGUGUUCAUGGCAAGCAAGCUCUUACCCUUGUUUUUGUGGAGACUAAGAAGGGAGCUGAUGCACUGGAGCAUUGGCUUUGUAUGAAUGGUUUCCCUGCUGCUGCUAUUCAUGGUGAUAGAACUCAGCAGGAGAGAGAGCAUGCCCUCAGAUCCUUCAAAACUGGUUACACACCAAUCUUGGUUGCA
This 454-nucleotide unclassified non-coding RNA is filed under the name Hevea brasiliensis (rubber tree). The record is from RNAcentral. Lineage: Eukaryota; Viridiplantae; Streptophyta; Magnoliopsida; Malpighiales; Euphorbiaceae.